RNAcentral lists this long non-coding RNA (321 nucleotides) under Mytilus galloprovincialis (Mediterranean mussel). The record is from RNAcentral. Lineage: Eukaryota; Metazoa; Mollusca; Bivalvia; Mytilida; Mytilidae.
UUUGAUUCAGUUUUAAAUGUGCAAUUCUUGUUAAGUUUUUAAAGUAGGUUGUUAUAUAGUUUUGAGUGGUUCUGUAUGGUGUAACAAGUUUUAAUUCUAUAAAACAUUUCUAGUAACCAUUAAAUCAAAACAGUAAGUAUAUAUGCAACGACCAUCAUACGAAGUUAAUUGAACUAUAUGUUGUUUGUUGAUAAGUUUGUGUGAGAAAAUCAUUAUAACUUAAGAAUAAGGAAAUGCUAAUACUGGAUACCAUUCAGGUUUUAUUGAUUUAAAAAUUCUUGUAGAUGCAAUGUAGGGGAAUCAGUUCAUACUUUGAUUCAG